UACGGAGGAUCCAAGCGUUAUCCGGAUUCAUUGGGUUUAAAGGGUCCGUAGGCGGAUUUUUAAGUCAGUGGUGAAAGCCGACAGCUCAACUGUCGAACUGCCAUUGAUACUGGAAAUCUUGAGUACAAAUGAAGUAGGCGGAAUGAGUCAUGUAGCGGUGAAAUGCAUAGAUAUGACUCAGAACACCGAUUGCGAAGGCAGCUUACUAACAUGUAACUGACGCUGAGGGACGAAAGCGUGGGGAGCGAACAGG
Molecule: ribosomal RNA, 253 nt
Filed under: uncultured bacterium
Lineage: Bacteria
Description: partial 16S ribosomal RNA
Rfam family: Bacterial small subunit ribosomal RNA
Source: RNAcentral